RNAcentral lists this ribosomal RNA (1372 nucleotides) under uncultured bacterium. RNAcentral describes it as "bacterial SSU rRNA". It matches the Rfam family "Bacterial small subunit ribosomal RNA", at positions 28 to 1381 of the family's 1533-position model. The record is from RNAcentral.
GAUGAACGCUGGCGGCGUGCCUAAUACAUGCAAGUCGAGCGAACGGACGAGAAGCUUGCUUCUCUGAUGUUAGCGGCGGACGGGUGAGUAACACGUGGAUAACCUACCUAUAAGACUGGGAUAACUUCGGGAAACCGGAGCUAAUACCGGAUAAUAUUUUGAACCGCAUGGUUCAAAAGUGAAAGACGGUCUUGCUGUCACUUAUAGAUGGAUCCGCGCUGCAUUAGCUAGUUGGUAAGGUAACGGCUUACCAAGGCAACGAUGCAUAGCCGACCUGAGAGGGUGAUCGGCCACACUGGAACUGAGACACGGUCCAGACUCCUACGGGAGGCAGCAGUAGGGAAUCUUCCGCAAUGGGCGAAAGCCUGACGGAGCAACGCCGCGUGAGUGAUGAAGGUCUUCGGAUCGUAAAACUCUGUUAUUAGGGAAGAACAUAUGUGUAAGUAACUGUGCACAUCUUGACGGUACCUAAUCAGAAAGCCACGGCUAACUACGUGCCAGCAGCCGCGGUAAUACGUAGGUGGCAAGCGUUAUCCGGAAUUAUUGGGCGUAAAGCGCGCGUAGGCGGUUUUUUAAGUCUGAUGUGAAAGCCCACGGCUCAACCGUGGAGGGUCAUUGGAAACUGGAAAACUUGAGUGCAGAAGAGGAAAGUGGAAUUCCAUGUGUAGCGGUGAAAUGCGCAGAGAUAUGGAGGAACACCAGUGGCGAAGGCGACUUUCUGGUCUGUAACUGACGCUGAUGUGCGAAAGCGUGGGGAUCAAACAGGAUUAGAUACCCUGGUAGUCCACGCCGUAAACGAUGAGUGCUAAGUGUUAGGGGGUAUCCGCCCCUUAGUGCUGCAGCUAACGCAUUAAGCACUCCGCCUGGGGAGUACGACCGCAAGGUUGAAACUCAAAGGAAUUGACGGGGACCCGCACAAGCGGUGGAGCAUGUGGUUUAAUUCGAAGCAACGCGAAGAACCUUACCAAAUCUUGACAUCCUUUGACAACUCUAGAGAUAGAGCCUUCCCCUUCGGGGGACAAAGUGACAGGUGGUGCAUGGUUGUCGUCAGCUCGUGUCGUGAGAUGUUGGGUUAAGUCCCGCAACGAGCGCAACCCUUAAGCUUAGUUGCCAUCAUUAAGUUGGGCACUCUAAGUUGACUGCCGGUGACAAACCGGAGGAAGGUGGGGAUGACGUCAAAUCAUCAUGCCCCUUAUGAUUUGGGCUACACACGUGCUACAAUGGACAAUACAAAGGGCAGCGAAACCGCGAGGUCAAGCAAAUCCCAUAAAGUUGUUCUCAGUUCGGAUUGUAGUCUGCAACUCGACUACAUGAAGCUGGAAUCGCUAGUAAUCGUAGAUCAGCAUGCUACGGUGAAUACGUUCCCGGGUCU